Molecule: long non-coding RNA, 2206 nt
Organism: Rhododendron vialii
Lineage: Eukaryota; Viridiplantae; Streptophyta; Magnoliopsida; Ericales; Ericaceae
Exons: 5
Source: RefSeq, a predicted model, not a curated record
GUCAUAUAACCCCUUCUUCCCCUUCGAGACUGAUCCCUUGAGUUAUGUUGAAAGACGUAUAGCCCCUCCUUGAACAUACUGGUAGAUGAGGAUUCAGAGAAUUUUCUCAUUUUGGUUGAAGAUUUGCUAGAAAAAAGCAUCAAAUACCUAAGAUAUCUGGGAAUUUUUGGCGUAACUAAGCUGCGUUAUUUCCCGACCCAGCUACUAAACCUAACUUCUCUGGAGGAGUUAGUGAUAGAAUGGUGCAAGAACCUAACGUAUUUUCUUCAAGACACGGAAGCAGCAGUAUUCAACCGCUUAGAGUCUCUUAAAGAGCUUCGCAUUACUAGUUGCUGGGAGUUGGGAUGUUUGCCAAAGGGGUUGCUACAACCAACCCUUGAAACAUUAGUGCUGGAAUAUUGUUCUCUUUUAAGAAUGACUGACCCAGAUGAAUUGCGCAGCCUCAAAUCACUUCAGAAUCUGAAUAUCCAAAACUGUCCAGGAUAGACAAGUUGGUGAGGGGAGGGGCUGUUCUGCCUUGGCAGCCUGCGAUAUUUGGGGAUAGGAUUAUUCUUAACAGAGCAUGAACCUUUCCUCUGGCCCUCCACAAGUGCCGAUGCCUCCACGAGUGGUGAUGAUGCAAACGUAGAGUUUGUCGAGCAGUUCCCCUUCAUCUCCCUGGAGGGUCUAUAUUUACUUGGUUUUGGAAACAAGCAUCUGCCUGAUCAACUUCAGCACCUCACCGCCUUGAAAAAGUUGCAAAUUUCUGAUUUCAACCACUUGGAAGCUCUCCCUGAGUGGUUGGGUAACCUUUCAUCUCUUGAAUCGCUGAAGCUUCAGACUUGCCCUAAACUGACGAGUCUGCCCUCAGUGGAAGCAAUUCAACGCCUCACCAAUUUACAAAUAUUAGAUGUGUUAGAAUGUCCCCUUUUAAAGAAACGAUGCGAAAGUGGCGAGGAGAGGCACAAGAUUGGUCAUAUUCGAUAUAAGAAGCUUACAGAUUUAUAGACACCAAUGGGCUGGAGUGAACCCUCUGCGAUUAUAUUUCGUGAAUCAUGAAGAUAAAGCAUGACUAGUCCCUUUUCAAUCAUGUUCUGAUAUCACGCAUCAAGACAUUUUGAUGUGGUGAUGUCUGCCUCAGGUAACAAUGAAUGAAGACUGAUCGUGGGUGGUGACAGCAUUUGAAAUAACUCUGCAGAAGAAAGAGAUUCUUUGAGGCACUUUGCACUUAGCAAAAUCAGAGGAACUCCUGGCAAGAAAAAUUCUCAGAGGUCUUAUUGUUAAAUAGGUUUGUCAACACUUCUCUACACAGUUUCCAGAAAAUUGCCAAGUGUUCAGGGCCUUAAGGCCUAUUGCCCAGAGUUCACACCAAUAAGGCUGGGAUGUGAGCGGUUUCCGAUUGCAAUCAAACUUUUUAAAGGCAGCUCAAAGUGAAGCAAUUGCUUAUGGACGUCAAUGCCUAAUCUCCAUUAGCGACACAAGAGAAUAAUCCAAAGUAGCCGAGUUGCUGUCCCUACCUGUCAUGGACGUUGUAUAUGAGUAAGUCAAUAGUUUUCUGUUCGAUGAACCAGUCAUGUUUUGAUACCACCGCCUAUGGUUGAUGAAGAUGGAAAGUUUCAUAGGUGUCAUUUUUGUGGAAAUGAACUGGAAUCAGCAGACCGAAUCUCUUUUGUUGCGCUUUGAUGGAAACUUUAAAAGACUGGUCAACCUGCUUCAAAUGCUGGGGAACACAGCUGGACUUCUCCAAUAUCUCAAAGGGGGGAUCUCUUUGAAUGGGGAAAAGACUCUAUCCCUUUUAUUGUUUCGUGGUCUUUACGAACUCUCACUAAUAGCGCAUUUUGCAAGAGGAAAAUCCAACCUGGAAUGAAGUCAAUGAACUCGUGAAAAUCAGACUUUCUUUUCUGGGUUGAAGAUGAAGUCCGUGCAAGUCAUUACAAUACAAUUUGCAAAGUGCUCUGGAAUGUUAUGGUGCUAUAUUUACUUGGUUGCUUUCUUAGGCUUCUUGUUGAUGCUGCAGCUUUUGGGAAGAAAUAUGACUCUUUUUCGUUUACUGGCUUGCUUGUUGCAUAUGUCAUUUAGUUUUUGCUUUUGAAUAGCUAUAUGUUAUAUGUGAUAAGCUACUCAGAUGAACCUCUUCUGCAACUUUGCUUCUCUCCUAUCCCUUUUCAACUGUAUGUGUCUACUUUUUUUAGUUAAAAAAAUAGUACAUUUCUUUUUUGAUUAAAAA